UCGGCUUCCUGUUCACGGCGACCGCCGCCGACCAGGCGACC
Molecule: non-coding RNA, 41 nt
Filed under: unclassified sequences
Description: L31-Actinobacteria ribosomal protein leader
Rfam family: L31-Actinobacteria ribosomal protein leader
Source: RNAcentral